Molecule: long non-coding RNA, 242 nt
Filed under: Sorghum bicolor (sorghum)
Lineage: Eukaryota; Viridiplantae; Streptophyta; Magnoliopsida; Poales; Poaceae
Description: long non-coding RNA (SBIC_LNC010989)
Source: RNAcentral
UCGGUUAAACAUGUGGAUAUGUAUGCGCAUCAGAUUCUCAGCCCUGGAUUUAUCCCUGGCUAACCGAACAAUCAAAUAGGAGCAAGGGGACAGGGAAUGAGUGACAGCUAGGAGAUCAACUAAUUCCAGGCCUGGAUUGAUUUCUCUUCUGGAUUGGAUCCCCAGCUGCCGAACAAGGCCUUAGUCUUCCAUGAAGUGGAUCUAGUGGGGCGAGACUGGAUUUCGGCCCCGCGCGGUCUCGG